Podarcis lilfordi (Lilford's wall lizard) is the source of this 74-nucleotide non-coding RNA. Lineage: Eukaryota; Metazoa; Chordata; Lepidosauria; Squamata; Lacertidae. The record is from the annotation of a GenBank genome assembly.
UUCUGGAUAGCUCAGUUGGUUGGAGCGUGGUGCUCAUAAUGUCAAGGUUGCAGGUUCAAUCCCCUUAUUGGACA